AAGGAGUCGAACAUUUAUGCGAGUGUUUGGGUGUCAAACCCUCACGCGUAAUGAAAGUGAACGGAGGUGAGAGCCCUUACGGGUGCAUCAUCGACCGAUCCUGAUGUCUUCGGAUGGAUUUGAGUAAGAGCAUAACUGUUCGGACCCGAAAGAUGGUGAACUAUGCGUGGAUAGGGUGAAGCCAGAGGAAACUCUGGUGGAGGCUCGCAGCGGUUCUGACGUGCAAAUCGAUCGUCAAAUCUGCGCAUGGGGGCGAAAGACUUAUCGAACCAUCUAGUAGCUGGUUACCGC
Molecule: unclassified non-coding RNA, 291 nt
Filed under: uncultured fungus
Lineage: Eukaryota; Fungi
Description: partial contains 5.8S rRNA, ITS2 and 28S rRNA
Rfam family: Eukaryotic large subunit ribosomal RNA
Source: RNAcentral